AGUGAACGCUGGCGGUAGGCCUAACACAUGCAAGUCGAACGGCAGCACAGUAAGGGCUUGCUCUUACGGGUGGCGAGUGGCGGACGGGUGAGGAAUACAUCGGAAUCUACUUUUUCGUGGGGGAUAACGUAGGGAAACUUACGCUAAUACCGCAUACGACCUACGGGUGAAAGCAGGGGAUCUUCGGACCUUGCGCGAUUGAAUGAGCCGAUGUCGGAUUAGCUAGUUGGCGGGGUAAAGGCCCACCAAGGCGACGAUCCGUAGCUGGUCUGAGAGGAUGAUCAGCCACACUGGAACUGAGACACGGUCCAGACUCCUACGGGAGGCAGCAGUGGGGAAUAUUGGAUAAUGGGCGCAAGCCUGAUCCAGCCAUACCGCGUGGGUGAAGAAGGCCUUCGGGUUGUAAAGCCCUUUUGUUGGGAAAGAAAAGCAGCAGGUUAAUACCCCGCUGUUCUGACGGUACCCAAAGAAUAAGCACCGGCUAACUUCGUG
RNAcentral lists this ribosomal RNA (492 nucleotides) under uncultured bacterium. RNAcentral's name for it is "partial 16S ribosomal RNA". It matches the Rfam family "Bacterial small subunit ribosomal RNA", at positions 29 to 507 of the family's 1533-position model. The record is from RNAcentral.